This 523-nucleotide ribosomal RNA is filed under the name Clostridioides difficile. RNAcentral describes it as "bacterial LSU rRNA". It matches the Rfam family "Bacterial large subunit ribosomal RNA", at positions 2233 to 2754 of the family's 2925-position model. Lineage: Bacteria; Bacillati; Bacillota; Clostridia; Peptostreptococcales; Peptostreptococcaceae. The record is from RNAcentral.
CCAUGAAUCUGGUCUUGGGACACUGUCAGGUGGGCAGUUUGACUGGGGCGGUCGCCUCCCAAAAGGUAACGGAGGCGCUCAAAGGUUCUCUCAGUACGGUCGGAAAUCGUACGUAGAGUGUAAAGGCAAAAGAGAGCUUGAUUGCAAGACAUACAGGUCGAGCAAGGAUGAAAAUCGGACUUAGUGAUCCGGUGGUUCUGCGUGGAAGGGCCAUCGCUCAACGGAUAAAAGCUACCCUGGGGAUAACAGGCUUAUCUCCCCCAAGAGUCCACAUCGACGGGGAGGUUUGGCACCUCGAUGUCGGCUCAUCACAUCCUGGGGCUGUAGUAGGUCCCAAGGGUUGGGCUGUUCGCCCAUUAAAGUGGUACGCGAGCUGGGUUCAGAACGUCGUGAGACAGUUCGGUCCCUAUCCGUCGCAGGCGUAGGAAAUUUGAGAAGACCUGUCCUUAGUACGAGAGGACCGGGAUGGACGUACCUCUGGUGUACCAGUUGUCCUGCCAAGGGCAUGGCUGGGUAGCUAUGU